This 69-nucleotide transfer RNA is filed under the name Anolis chrysolepis (goldenscale Anole). Its description in RNAcentral is "tRNA-Tyr". The record is from RNAcentral. Lineage: Eukaryota; Metazoa; Chordata; Lepidosauria; Squamata; Anolidae.
GGUAAAGAAAGGAUUUGAACCAAUAUAAGUAAGUUUACAGCCUACCGCCUACUACUCGGCCACUUUACC